UUAAUUGUUGUUGUUAAUUUUGUUUUAAAAGCAGAAAAAGCGUAUUUAACGGAUGUAUUUUCGCAGAAUCUCUACUGCCUCAUGUUACACUCCAUGCGAAGGUAUUACAUAUUGAUUUGAGAAGAUAUAUUUAGCUAUCUUGAAAUUUUUUAUUCUUAGACAUGUGUACUUUUCUGACUAACCAAUAGUAGGGAAGGUUGUUGAUUACACUUUCACUUUCAUUUUUGACUGCAUUUUUUUACCCACGGUAAACGCCUAAUUAGACUACUCCAGCUUAAUUAGGCCAUAUCACCUGUUAAGGAGACACAUUACGACGUACUAGACAUCGUGUAAGUAACUGCAGUGAUUCUAAGUUAGGAAUGGGUAAUUCUCUUUGUCAGCAUAUGUUGCGUGUUACUUUUAAGCUAAUUGCAGGUCUAUAUAUUUUUCAGGGUAGCCGUUAUGAUUUAUGGGAAAACACCCCAUUCACCCAGUCACCUCUUCAUAAAUAGAGUCUUUAUUUUCAAACUUCAUCCUGUCAUAUUGUGUAAGGAAAUUUUUUGCUUUAGUUUAGCUUUAAUUCAGAUACAUGUAGUUCUUGUUUAAUCAAAACUUCUUUUGUGAGAGUUUGACCGUGGAAAGUCUGUGUUUUCCCUCAACCAAUGUUUUAUAUACGUGACAUUCUGACCAGGAGAAUGUGACCAGCAUUACAAAAGGUCUAUUCAUAUCUUGAUAGCUUCGGCAGCAAUUAUGUUAUCGCAAAACAAAGUAAGUAGCCUAAUUAGGUGAUUUUUUAUCUGUAUUUUUUUUAUUUGAUGUGCUAAAUUCCAUUUGAAAAUAACGAAGUCACUUUCAGGGGGUUUGUGCCAUAAGUUAUUAACACAGUUCAAAUAGAACAAUAUUUCUAUGAAGAACAUAAAUCUGUGUUGAAGUUGUUCUGUGAUUUACAAUGAUUUAAGCAUAUAUAAUUGCAAAAGUAAGUUUUUAUUCCCCUAAUUACCACAUGUCCCGAAUUAAGUUACCACUAGUCAUCUUAGUUGUCACCUAAUCAGGUUUUUUAUUCCUAUUAUAUAUAAAGUUUCUACAGUGCUGCGUAUGUCAUAAAAAAUGCUGGCGUCUUCAGAGUUUAGCAAUUAAAGGUAAAAGAAGAUCCCACAUAUAUACAUUCAGACAUUAUGGAUAAUUGAGACAAUAUUACAGAGAUGAAUGAGACAACAAGCACUGAUGUAAACAAAGAUGGUAGACAACACAGUGAGACAAAACGCUUUUUGUAAUUUUUUUUCAAUCUUUGCUUCUAAGUUAAAAACCGUUGCAUAUCCUCUCAUUGAAUUUACGUGGAAGUGGACCAAAGAACUGCCAUUGCGAACUAACCAAAUCUUCAAAUUUAAGUACGUUAGUAAAAUCUUUGUGGAAAAACAGGUAAAAACAAAGAAGUCGACCGGUCUGGAUGAUCUUCCACCACACUUAUUAAAGUAUUAUAGUAGGACCAUUAAGUCACAUCAUAAACCUGCCUCAUUAAUCUGGAGAGGUACCAUCCGAUUGGAAAAUAAGUAAAGUUGUUCCUAUACUGAAAAAUGGUAACCAUACUUCUGCAAAUAACUAUAGACCAAUUUCCCUAAUCCUGAUAGUUUUUAAAAUUAUGGAAAGAGCUGAUAGUUAAUAAAACCACUAACCUUUUGUCUUCUAUAAGACUUUCUAAUAUUCUUCUUCCUCAGUAAUCUUAUGUUCUGAUAGUCUAUAAUCUUUUUGAUGGAAUCCAACAGCUUCUCUUGCUUUCUAAUAUUCUUCCUUGCUGAAUAAUACUUUCAUCCAAUACUCAUAUGCAAUCUUUCUUGUAUAACCCAACGCCUUAGCUAUAUUUACGGGGUCAGUGAUAUUGUCUUACUCUUUGUUCUAUAUGACAAUAAAUGUUAACAAUCUUCCCCUCUUUUCUUUUUCUUUCUUUUGUCAGUUUGAUCAACUUUUAGUUCAACCAAAUUUAUUAACAGAAUUGAAUGGAUAUCCAUAUGCAGCUAUAUCCGAGUUAACAACAACAUAGUCAUUUGACACAUAAACAAAACAGCAACCAAUCCAUAUUGCCAGUUUAACGAAAUCAACUCCAAAAUGGUUAGUAUUAACAAAAUCACAAAACUGUUUAAACUAUUUACACAUCUUUCCUCAGAUCUCCUCUAUUUUUCUUUUUCUUGUUUGAGUACACCAGUUGCCAAUGUAAAAAGAAGAUUCUUGCAACUAGCUCCUCAUUUGGUAAGACAAUCAGCGAUUUUCUGUUUUUUUGAAACCCAUGUUAUGUGAUUCACUUCGUUAUUUCGAAUCAUUUUUUUCAAAAUAGCCAAAUCUACUCUUAAGCGAUUGUCCAAAACUUGUUUUGUGGAAUGUACAGCAUCUUAAAGUGUUUUACUAUCUGUUAAACAUUUAAUUGAUGGUGCAAUAUUGAAAAUUUCUUCAAAUAAACAGCAUGGUCUCUGCAGAAAGGGUACUAUUCACUACUCUUUUCAUUCCUUACAAGCUAAAAUUGACAACAUAAAAUGUAAUGAUUCCUUUGUGCAAGUUGGAGAGUCUGUCUGAAUUGGUUUUUCAAACUCCUCAAAACCUUGUGCCACUAAUCUAGCUUUCACAGUUCUUUGUCCAUCAACAUUCUUCUCUGUCAGAAUCCAUCUGGUGCUAAUACAACUUUGGUUUUUAUCUUCCACUUCAUCAAAAACUUUAUUUUUGAUCCAGUUGUUCAAUUCCUUUUCCUUGGCAGACUUAAUCUCCUUUUCAUUGCCUUUAUUCAAGCAUAUCAAAGCCUCUUGUGAUACCUUUUCAGCAAAAUCCCACUCUUCAACCUUUUUCCAGUCCAAAUUCUCAACAUUCCCAACUUCAUUAACAAUGUUCAGCCGAUUCCUAUACUUUCCACUUGUUUUCCCAGCUCUUGAGUGCACAGUUCCUGUUUUCCAACCAACUUUUGUUUUGUAUUUCACUUUAUCUUUAACGUUUGGCAUAAUAUUCUUUGCUUUCACAUUUGUCUUCAAUAAUUUGUUAUGCUUAAAUGAAGUAUCCAUACCCGUAUCAUUAUUAACAUCGCUGUUAGUAAUUGAUGCUUCACUACUUAAUUCCUCAUCUUCCAAUAUUUCCUUUCCAGUUUCCUGUUUUUCUUCACGGUCAAUUUCCACUUCUACAUGUGCUUCUAACUUUUCUUCUUUUAAUCGUAGUCUGCAUGGAUGCAUUCUAACAUAUGUUGAUCCAUGCUUUACUAGAACUUGCUGACUUUCUUGUCCUAUCACAGUAGCAGGACCCUUCCAAGUAUCAUCAGAUCUCCGUUUAUAAUAUACUUUAUCUCCUGUUGCAUACUUCACACCUGUUAAAGGUCUUACAUUAUGUUUCAAGGCUCUUCUGAGCUUUUCAGAGGAUUAAGAUUUUAUAAAGGCUUCUCUUGCAGCAUGCAAUGCGUUCAAGUUACCAGCAACUACUUGACUACUUGUCCUUCCUUCUAGAGCUGGUGGAUCAUUCAUUUCUAUAACUGAAAAAUUUGGAUUGCUGCCAAACACUAGUUGAUUUGGUGAAAAGCCAUGUAUGUUUUUUAAGGAAUUCUUAGCAGCAACAGCCCAAGCCGCAGCUGUUUCUAAUGAAUAAUUAGGCUUGUCCAUCAUUUUACAGACUGUAUUGCCAAGUGUGAAAUUAUGUCGCUCAACAAGUCCAUUACUCCAUGGGCUCUCAGCAGCUGUUGUAACAAUAUUGAUGUUUAAAUUCUCACACAUGUCACGGUAAUCCUCAUUAUCAAAUUCCCCACCAUUAUCCACUAAAAACUUUUUAGCAGACCCAAAUAUGGAAAUCCAGAUCUUAAAAAUUGAGUUAAUGAUAAUUUCUUUCCUUUUACUUCGAAUAACACAGGAUGCACUAACUCUGGCCAAGUGAUCAACAAGAUGUAACAAACAAAUUUUAUCACCAUACGACCAUUGUUUCAAAUCCAUGCCAACGCAUUCAUUAAAUUCUGUAUCACAACUAUCUGAAACUCCAGCAAUCAUUUUUAAAAGAUCUGGGUCAGUUACAUCAGCAUUUCUCAAAAGCUGCUGAAGCUUGUCCUUUGAUGGAUGCGCAAACUGUUUAUGCAAUUUCAGGGCCACUUUUUCCUUUUCUUGAGUAUCAUCCAAAUUAUUCAUCAUCAGAUAUACUUGAGCAAAAGUCCUUUCAAUUCCGCUACCCUCUUUGUUAAUGGAAAUACAAUAAUGUCCGGUGAAACUAAAUUGGAUCUGGUGUUCUUGUCGCAAAAUUUCAACCUUGUCAUUUUCAAAAUCAAUAAAAACUUUUGCAUUCUUCAUUGCUUGCUUACUAAAUAGUAAUGGUAAGUCCUUGUCUACAACUUCUUUUAUUAUGCUAACAUAUUUUCCACUAAGCCAAGCAGGUAUGGUGACACGUUUUGAUGCUUUGAUUUCGUUACCAUCUCCGAAUUUAAAUACUGUUCAUGAUGGCUCUUCUUUGAUUGAUGAAGCAUCCUCGCCUGAAAGACUUUCUACAUAAUCGUUUAACCAAUUCUGCUGGCAAACUGUUUUAGUGCAACCAGAACCCAAUACUGCCAUGGUAAAUGUCUCACCAACAAGAGUUUCCAUUAUUUCCUCCGUAUAAAAUUGAUGUUUAAUCUUAUCACUCUUACUCUUAGCUUUAUCUGGACACUUCCUAGCAAAAUGGUAAAUACUACCACAGAUGUAACACCUUGGAUGAUCACCCGAUCUUCUAUUCUGCUCUCUGUCACUUCGAUUUCCACUGCUUCUACGAUAAUCCUUUAACCUAUACUCUUGUAUUUCUCGUUGCCCAUGAUAUUCCUGACCCGUCUGUUCCACCCUCUAUCUGCAUACCGUGAGUGAGGAACCUUGCAGUGUGAAGCACCAUAAAAGGUCUCGUUGGAAGUACUAUCACCCGAAACCUCAUUAAUUUGAACCGGCACAUCGUCAUCUUCUUUUGAAUUUAAAGAUUCAUUAAAUACCUUCUUAACUUGAUCAACCAUCAAGUUAUACUUUAAAUCUGGAAUUGUUGCUUGAACAGUUUCUUUCUGUUGCGUAGAAAGGUUAGCACUAUUUAAACAUCGAUAAGCUGUAACAGCUUCUGGUAAAUCAAUAUCAUACUUUUUCAAAUUAUAGUAAAGGUCUUCAAACUCAAUGGUAUAAUCCUGUAACAACAUGUCCUUCUACCUUUUAAAUUGCUCAAAUUUUUAAUAUGCUUCAUAUGCACGAUGCUUUGCAUCUUUAAGAAAUAUCUUGUCCAAUCUGUCCGUAAGUUUUGUAAUACCAUCUUCAUUUUUUUAAUCUCGAAUGUCAAGUUGUAAGGCAGUCUUUUUAGCCUUACCAUCUAAGAUCCACAGAGCUAGCUACAACGUUUUUGCUAGACGACAUACAUAAAGAAGCAGAUCAGGGAUAGCUUGUAGGAACUGUCUUCGUAGAUCUUUCCAACGCAUUUAAUACGUUAGGGAACUCCAUACUGCUAUCAAAGUUGAAAUCAUAUGGUAUAUCAUGCGUUGAGUUGGAUUGGUUCUCUAGUUACUUAUUUAACAGAAAGCAAUUGUGUCAAUACAUGUCUAUCCCAUAACCUGUGACGUACCGCAAGGGUCCAUUCUGGGACCUUCAUUUUCCUUAUUUACUUUAAUGAUUUUAAAGACAUCCUUAAACAUUCAAAAGUGAUUCAAUUCCCUGACGAUACAGUUGUUUAUGUAUCAGAUAAGUGUUUUAACACAAUUGAACGUGAACUAAAUGAAGAUUUGCAAUCGAAUGCAGCCUAUUGUUAUAUCAAUGAAUUGAUUAUCAAUAUCAGUAAAGGAAAAACGAAUCCAUGUUGCUUGGAACAGCUAUAAAGCUAUCAAAAUUUCCAACUGGACUAAGCCUUUCGUACGUUCAUAAGGAGUUGUGGUCGAUACAGAUAUCUGGGUACCCGAAUCAAUCAAUCGUUGAACAUGGAGGAAAAUUUUAAUUACCUCUAUAAACAAGCCUCAAAUAAACUUCGUAUGUUGAGUAACCUGAGAGAUGGCUUGGACAAUGAAUGCUCUAGCAAAAUUUACCAAUCAAUAAUUUUAUCUGCACUAAUGUACGAUUGUACAACAAAUUUAAAUUUGAACUCUACAGAAAAAUAUAAACUUUAAUCAAUAAGAAAUCGAGCUGAAAGAUCACUAAUGUUCCACAAAAGAAUAUUAUAAAUUUAGUUGAGAGAAGGUCAGUUUUAAUUGUCCGAAAAUGCGUUGAUGUGUGAUGAUUUUGCUAAUUAUUUUCAGUUUAUGAAGCACACGAAGAGAACCAGAAAUAAUGGCUAUUUUAUAAAAAUUCCCUGGGUAAAACUCGAGUUUGCCCAUUCUGGCUUUUUCAUAAUGGAUAUAAAAGAUUUCACUUCUUUGCCCGUUGAGAUCAGACAAACAGAUUCCUUUAGGGAUUUUAGGAAGCUAUGCGACACAUAUUUUGAUAGAUAGUAUUAGAUAUAGUAUUGUGUAUAUUCAAGUCUAUAUUUUUUUCAUGAAGUCUAUCCAACUUUGUCCUUUCAUGCUUCCUUGUUUUCUUUUUUCAGUCUGCAUUGCUACAUGGUAACUUUUAUUGUCUUAUUUUCCAGUUUAUGUGUGUGUUUUUUUAUACGUUUCUCAAGUUUUUCAAUUUUUUUUUACUAUGUUUAACUAACUUUAUUAUACACAGGACACAUUUAAAUAACAGUGUUUUAAAUACUGAAAAUGUUUUUAUCCUGUAUAAAUAUUCAGUAUAAAUAAAUAAAUAAAAAUUUUGUUUCCUUGUUUGCUUUUUUAUAUUCUGAUAAUAAUGCAAGUAAAAAAAAAGAUGUGAGUGAAAUGUGUGUAAUGUAUAAUAAUAGUGGACAUCUAUAUAUUAAUACGCCUUGUGUGUGUGUGCGCACGGUGAGGCCACGUCACACAAAUCACAGGUCAUUUUCUUACGACGUGGCGUUACGCUAAAAUUUACCAAGUUAAAGAAAACGCAAAUCAGGGGGUUACUAUAUAAAUAUUUAAUUCUCUUUUCUUAUUUUUUUUUUUAAAUAAAACUCUUUUUCCUUACUCAUUAAAACUAAUUUUUAUUUUAAUUUCAAAUGGUUUAUUUGUUAUUUUGUUGUAAAAGCCCCGCUGGUCGUUUAAGAUAGAAUAAUUAAAUUUUACCCCCGGUUUACCAUGUGCGCGCCGUAUCUCACGGAAACAAAGUUUAUUAACUGAAAAAUGAAAACCGAAGCGAAGAAAGUUGUCUCUUUUUCAAAGUAAUCCUGAAAAAAGUUAUUUCAAACAAGGUUUACUCAUCACGAGAGCGACUGUUGAUGUCGAGCGAGAAUAAAAAAAGUUUAUGUUGUUGCCAGAAAUAUUUGUUAUAAAGAAGAAAGACGUACGAUAAUAUAACGUCAAAAAGAGAACUGAUUGGAAAUGUAUCAGACAAUUGUAGCUAGCUAUACAUUUUCAAUUUGUUUUCUUUGGGAUGAAGCGAAGUUUAAUAAUCGAAGUAAAAAACUGAUUGGUCUUUUAUCCAGAGACGCUAGCUAACUGAGAAAGCCAAAGAAAGGCAGGUGUGUUGUUUAGUUUAUCUGGUAAAGAGAUAAGUUUAGGUGUGUAACGUUUUUUUUUAACCGUUUUGACUUUCAGAGCUCAGCUUUUCCUUUAAAUUUUUAGUUCCUUGUUGAGUCUUGAGCGUAAAUGCGUUUUCUUUUGACACAAUUUUUAUAAGAAUCUAUAAUGUAAAGCGACGUUUUUAAGUCGUUUACACGCUUCCAGCUAAACUUUCCCUUUAAUAUGAAGUUAAAUAUGUUUUGUCUUUAGCCUGAACAUAUUUAACAUUUUUUGUAAGAAUAUACUCUAAACAAUGGGUCAGAAUAUCCUAAGAAUAUGUCUAAGCUUGGUUGUUUCUUUUAAUAUAAAAAUUUGUAUGACUGAACCUUUUUCUCUCCAAAACAAUGGGCAAGUACACCAGGGAAAGCUAAGAACAUGAAGGCCGAAACGGGGAAAAAAAAACGCUAUUCUUAUAAAAUACAGCGUGUAUAUAAUAGAGAAGAGUUUAUAUAAAAUGUAGAAAGUAUUUUUUCGUUGUUACUGUUUUUAACGCUGCGAAGUGGUUGAUGUCGUUAUAAUAAACCUUAAUGUAAACAAAGUUAAAUCAAUGUUUACAUUUGUUACGUUACCGUGUAAAAUAAUAUUCGAUUCUUCAAUUCGAAAACACUGCAUUGUUAUCAUGCACUGCACGUUUGCGCAUUGGGAAGGUUGCUAUAUGCAAUAGACUAAAUAGCUAAUUUGGUAUGAUGCAUUAGAAUCUGUACGUUGUGGAAACUUUGCAAUAACCUUAUUUGUGUGACUUAUCGAUUUUUUCUAAUGUCUGGUAUACCAUUUUCCCUUUUAUGUUUCGGGUAUGGCAAAGCAAGUAUAUAGUUUUAACAGAUUUGUUAGCCACCUUCGAUUUUGUUAAACUUUUUGCAUUUUUAUUUGUUGCUGGACAUUGUUCUGUUUCAGCGGGUACAAAUAUAAUGCAGAUUGUGAGCAACUUCAAUCCCAGGGUUUUUUUCUCUUUUAUUUUUUUUUUUUAUUGCUGCACAUAUUUAUUUUUUUGGACGUUUUGUUCUAGUGGUUAUAAACUAGAAUAAUACAAAUUGUGACUUUUAAAAAUUCAUAUUACUGUGUUGUAUGUUUUCGUUUGGUAUCCCUUACAUCGGUUUAAUGAGAGAUUCAGUGGAUUCCCCCACGGGUAUUCAGCUAGUAUAUAUUAAUAAUCUUUUACUGUAUACGAUUUAAAACAUGACAUUCAUUUUGUAAGAAAAAGGCAAUGUACAUUAUUAAUAAACUUGAAAUAAUUUUUCUAUUUACAGAGUGUAUAUAUAUGUAAAAUUAGGUUAGGAUAACCUUGUUAAAUUAUAUAGGAAAAAGUUUCGGUUUACAAUUACUGUAUUUUAUGAUUGUAGGAUUCCCCUAGCUCUACAUUGCACAGGCCUUUUUCAAACAACAGAUCUUCACACUACUCCAUUCUUUUCAAGCUUCCUAUUUUUCUGGUAAUGGUCGAAAAAAUUGCUUUUCAGGUAUACUUCAGACAAAGUCAGGAUAGUGUGUUAGAAAAAAAUUUUAAUACACAUAUAGGGAACGUAACUUUUACCAGAAAUCUUUUUGAGUGAUACUCACAAAACGAAUAU
Hydractinia symbiolongicarpus is the source of this 9093-nucleotide long non-coding RNA. RefSeq lists it as uncharacterized. Lineage: Eukaryota; Metazoa; Cnidaria; Hydrozoa; Anthoathecata; Hydractiniidae. The record is from RefSeq and is a predicted model, not a curated record. The transcript is spliced from 2 exons.